Molecule: long non-coding RNA, 578 nt
Filed under: Ananas comosus (pineapple)
Lineage: Eukaryota; Viridiplantae; Streptophyta; Magnoliopsida; Poales; Bromeliaceae
Description: long non-coding RNA (ACOM_LNC030559)
Source: RNAcentral
GUCAGGUAUAGCGACCGUCACCCUGGUUAUCUUCAUUUGACACUUAGUAGAGUUAUUAAUAAAUGGUUCAGUUAGACGAUCAUUAUUGAUGUUUGAAUGUUUUGAUGGGUUGAUUUUCCUAUUAUGCAUGAGAGUAUGGAUUUGUGGAUUUGGUUUUAUAGUUCUCGGAUUUGUAUUUGUGGAUUUACAUAUCGUGGUUUCCUACCCCUCGAGGUAGUCGGUUUUCAAAACAGAGUUUCCGUGUGGGAAACAGUUUUAAAAGGUUUUCGAAUGGUUUUAAUGAAUGAAUGAAUUAGAGUUUAAAAAUAAAAGCUUCCGUGUGGGGAGCACUUUUAAAUAGGAUGAUUGUUGUAUUGUGCAUUGCAUCAUCCAGCGCCUAAGGAGUGCUUAGAGGCAUGCAUCAUCUCUAAGGAUUGUUAGCUGUAUGGAAAUGCAUAUCACGAUUUGAUUGUUGAUUGGUAAAUGUAGGUUGUGGUUGUGAUCCUGUUGUAUUGUUGGUACGCCGUGCAAAUACAAAGGAGACUCUGUCCAAGUGGACAGAGGAACUUUGUAUUUGUGGCGGGUCUGUACGUCACGUG